UCAGCUGCAGAUCUUCUUACCUUCGUUCAGAUAAUGCAGGCAAGGAUGCAUUACGACGCUAGAGAACCUAAACAAAAACAAAUGGGGGCACAUAGCAAACGAUGACAAAAUAUCGACAAGUCCCUACUUAUGGCAAUGGUUGAUAGGUGGAGGCCAGAGACACAUACAUUCCAUCUACCGUGCGGAGAAAUGACCAUAACUUUGCAGGAUGUGUCCAUGCUCACAGGGCUGCCACUAGCCAGCCAGGCAAUUGUACUUCCGGACCCUCCGGAAGAUUGGAGAGAUGAUAUUGUAUCACGGUAUGCCUGUAUUUUGCCACGGUACGCUACCGGUGAUACAGACGAUGAUGAGGACAAAAUAUUUUUCUCUGAAAAAGAAACUCAUGGCCCCACAUUGAAGUGGUUGUCACAGUUUGAGGUGCGAUAUAUGCCCGACGAUGUCCAGGAGUACCAACUGACGUUGUACCUUGAGGCUUAUCUACUUUGGCUGUUUGGUUGGGUCAUGUUCACCGGCUCGCACGGGAACACUGUGGACGCCAGGCUAAUCCCCCUUGCUCGCCAAAUUACUGAAGGUAAUAUAGCGCCUUCUGCACAGUUUAGCUGGGGAUCAGCCGUCCUUGCCGCCACAUAUCGUGGAUUCUGCGACGCUUGUAUUAAGACCGGACAAAGGGAGGCAAUUUUCACGAGGUGUCCACUUUUGGUCAUGUUGUGGUCGUACGAGCGCUUCUCGUUCGAACGUCCAUACAUGAGCGUGGCCGUGGCCCACAAGGACGAUUACACUGACGCAGUUGAUGAUCGUCCUACCUUCGGUACUCGCUGGUGCUACGGACUGCCAUAGUGGGCGAGAAUCCAGGUGCACAAUGUGUACGAGUACUUUACCGAGGCGUUCGAAAGCCUUAGGGAAAACAAAGUUCGGUGGACUCCGUACACGAACGAAGAGGCCAUUUUGCGUGCACCACAUGGAGUAAGCAUCUUAUGCUACCGCGAUGAACCGUACUGGAUGACACAAAAAAUGCUGGUGUACGACAUAUUCGUCGAGGGGUAUAAUGUUCAAGGGUAAUGCGUCAGAUGGGACUGUACCAACAAGUCCCAAUUCCUGUUGGACUUCACCUUCCACCAGAUGUGCACAUGCAAAAGAGGCAAGCUGACAGCAAGUAUCAUCGAUCUAUGCACUCAAGGAUGACCCCAUGGAUAGAGGCAUGGUCACAGGCCUUGAAUGAUGUCGUCCAGGAGACCAGGGCAUACGACCACAACAAUUACGAACUAUACAUGGCCUGGUACUCAUCGCAGACUCGCAUCCGGCUGCUUGCACCCAAGGAUCCCGACAAGCGAGGUCCACCAACAAUUGAUCAAAUAUAUGAUAUGCAGCUAGCACCCUCCACUCACUUGACGAUACUACUACCAUUUAAAUAUUUCGUUGCAUCGGUGUGUCCUUAUACAUGGGGUUCCACUUUCUAACAUUGUUGCUACGCUCCAUGCAGACCGACAUUGCAGGGGAAUUAAAAAGGGAUGCGAAAACAUUGUGGAAGAAGCUUAGAGAUGGAAUGGCGGGUACCAACCAGGAAGUUAUGGCCGCGGUUGACUCCCUCCGUCGAAAAGGAAAGCGAAUCAUGCGGCUCGCAUCGUGCCGACAUUCCUCGGACGUCUAUACUCCGGCAACAUCAAGAAGGACGUUCGAGACAAUGCCGGAGCGUCCCUCUACCUCUUCCCGGCCGUCCACCUCAGCCCGCCCUUCAGCCUCCGCGCGACGAUCCAGUGAUGGUUGUGCAGGAGUAAGGUCAACUUCGUUUCGUGAGCCACACCUAUUCCGACUAUCCCAGAAAUCGCUGAAAUUUCGGAACGCCUAGGAGGCUUUGGUACAACUCAAGCACAACCGGAACAGGUACCCCCACAUAGCUCUACGCCCAUCACCUCUCAAUGGCAGGGUGGGUUUGCGUCGUUUACUGAGGGAACGUGAAUGGUCUGUCCCGUGCCUCAUAUGCCUCCUGCAAGGCCACAAAUGAUUCCUCAAAUGGCUCCCGAUGUGCCAACCUCACACUGGCAAGGAGGAUUUGCACCUUUUGCAGGGACUAGCCAAGGUAUCCCUACCAUACCCCAAUUGUCUGCAGAUUUUAUCGGUCAAGGAGGGUUUACGUCGUUAGGCGGGCCUACUCAGUCGGUUCCACUGCAUCCACCUACAUAUGGCACCAACUCAUGGCAAGGACAAUCCAUGGAUUACGAUGGUACACACAGCCAUCAUUCUCCAUACACAUAUAUCGAUGGCACUUUCAUACCUUACAUGACUCCCACUUCAACUUAAGACAAUAACUCCGUGACAUUUUAUAUGGAUGCAAAGCACGUCGUUUGAUGGUGGAGUACAGGGUUAUAUGGACUUGUUGCAACAAGGUGAUUGGCUAUUUGGUCAAUAUUCCUCGCAUCCUAAUGAAAUUCCAUAUAUGCAAGCACCGUCAACAGGGUCAUUUCGCCCUGAACCAAUGUCAGGGUUUAGGCCUUACACUGCAUCGUACGGCGACAUGUCCAGCUUCGGUGGAGGGUCGUCACCGGUACCCAAUGAGCCUCAGACUUCACAAACUGAUGAUGCGCCCCCUGUGACAUAGGCCACACAACCAGAGGUUGGCGAAGGAAAUGACAAUGACCCGCGUAGAUCUAACCGUGAGCGCCAUGAGCCAAACCGUAUGUCACUCUCAGGCCCUCGACAUGCCGCAGGACAAAGGAAAAAAACUACAAAAAAGCGAGGUGAAACAUCUAGGACUACGACUGACCAUGACGAUGAUGACGAGUAGAACUGAACAUUAUGUCUUUCAGUUCACUGGCAACCCUAUCUGAACCUUGCUGUGAUUUUGGCUUAUUCUUCAUGUUAUUUGUACUGCAAUGAACAUUAUUUAUUUGUACUGCUUAUUCUU
This is a non-coding RNA of Oryza sativa Japonica Group (Japanese rice), 2902 nucleotides long. NCBI's taxonomy places the organism in Eukaryota, Viridiplantae, Streptophyta, Magnoliopsida, Poales, Poaceae. The record is from RefSeq and is a predicted model, not a curated record.